Non-coding RNA from Camelina sativa (false flax), 110 nucleotides. NCBI's taxonomy places the organism in Eukaryota, Viridiplantae, Streptophyta, Magnoliopsida, Brassicales, Brassicaceae. The record is from RefSeq and is a predicted model, not a curated record.
GGUUUAGGCUAAUUCCGGAUCUCUGUCGCCUGAAUUCUCCACUAUCUCCUCCCGCUGUCUGGUUCUGAGGACUUGAAGGGUAUGGAUAAUAAUUCUUUGAUGCUGAUUGA